UGAGUGUUACGAUGAUGGAAUUUUAAGAAUUCUUAGUCUAGCUCUGGUCUGCCACUAGGAGCCUCUCCUAGUGG
Non-coding RNA from Streptococcus ratti FA-1 = DSM 20564, 74 nucleotides. NCBI's taxonomy places the organism in Bacteria, Bacillati, Bacillota, Bacilli, Lactobacillales, Streptococcaceae. The record is from Rfam.